Molecule: ribosomal RNA, 400 nt
Filed under: uncultured bacterium
Lineage: Bacteria
Description: bacterial SSU rRNA
Rfam family: Bacterial small subunit ribosomal RNA
Source: RNAcentral
GGAUAUUGGACAAUGGAGGAAACUCUGAUCCAGCCAUGCCGCGUGAGUGAAGAAGGCCUUCGGGUUGUAAAACUCUUUCAGUAGUGAAGAUGAUGACGGUAACUACAGAAGAAGCUCCGGCUAACUUCGUGUCAGCCGCCGCGGUAAUACGAAGGGGGCGAGCGUUGUUCGGAAUCACUGGGCUUAAAGCGUACGUAGGCGGACUAGAAAGUCCGAAGUGAAAGCCCAGGGCUCAACCCUGGAACUGCUUUUGAAACUCCUAGUCUAGUGUCCCGGAGAGGUUGGCGGAAUUCCGAGUGUAGAGGUGAAAUUCGCAGAUAUUCGGAGGAACACCAGUGGCGUAGGCGGCCAACUGGACGGGUACAGACGCUGAGGUACGAAAGCGUGGGGAGCAAACAGG